CUGAAUUUAACAAAAUCUCCAAUUUUGCCAAAAUAACAUAAUUUGGUUAGUGUUUUGAACUCAUAAUUCAACUGUAAAGGUUCAAAUCCUUUUUUUGGUUUUCUUUUGGAUAUACCUUCUUUUUUUUUAAUGAGUUUGAUUUUGACUCAGCUUUAACGUUUUUGAAGAGCCUUGACAUGCUUAUUUUUAUUAGUGAAAACGGAGUAAUAAAAGAAUUUUACUUUUUUGAAUUUGAGCAUUCUUUUUAUAAUUCGAAAAAAUAAAUUUUUUCAAAAUUAGACAUAAAUGUAAGCUAAAAUUUACAUUGUCGAUGAUUUUUAAUCAUUUCUAUCGAAUCAGUGAUCCGGUUAAUUCUGAAACAACAAUUAAAUUUAGUAAAAUCGCAGUUUGGAAUCUUGGACAAUGAACGAAAGUUUGAUCCAGCUACUUCAAUUGACUGUUUGUAAGUUUUUACCAAAGUCAAAACACAAAAAACACUGAUUUUUGUUUUUUAGUUUCGACCAAACUCGUGCCAGAAGUCUCGGUAAUGCGAGUGAAAUAAACGUUAAGUUAAAUUACUUGAUUUAAAUCACUUUUUGAAUUUUUAACUUUUGAAAAUACAAUAUCAGUUUGUUUUUUUCAUUUUCAAUAUUGUUAACAGUUAGUAAUUCAAACGAAGGUUGAAUAACUUAAAUUAGUGAUAAAAUACUUUUUAGUUUUUUUGGAAAAUCAAUGGCGAAAGCUACCUUCGAUGAAUUAUUAAAGCGUCGUGUUCGCUUUUUACUUAAUUUGAUAACGUGUAAGUAUGGUUAGCAACGUGAAUUUAGACACUCACUUAGUCCAUACCGUCAACUAUGAUUUUUUUCUAUUUUUCAAAAUAGAUCGUGAAAACAAAAAAAUCAAUCUGAGGAUUAAGCACGCAAGUGUUAAACUUAAAAAAUUAGAUGAGAAAGAGCACCAUCCGUGGAUCAUGUUUUUUAAUUCGAUAAUACACGCAAACCUUACCUUUUUUUGAAUGUGUUAAUGCUUUAAAAAUUUUAAAAUUUAACUAACUCACAAGUGUUGCAUGGUUGUCGUUCAGAUCUUACUUUGAAGUGUUUGGUUUAUUCCAAAAAAGAUCGUAACUUUUAUUCAAUCUUUCUCAAUUUUUUUUUUGAAAAUUAAGCACAGUUUGAAAAGCAAUGCUAAAAAAGCAAUAGAAAAAAACUACGUCUAAAUCUUUAUGACCUUGAUGAAAAGGGCUUUCAAUGUGAUAUAAUGGUUUGAAUAAUAAGUAGCUUUUUUGAACAAUAUAAGCUAAACUUAAAAUGAUAUCAAAAUCCGGAUUAAACUUUGAAAUUUAAGUUUAUUAAGCCAGAAUGGAAAGUAAUAUUGAUUAAGCUUGUCAAUGUGAAGUUUAAAACUCUUUUUUUACUUAUCGCCCAUCACCUUUGAAAAAUAAGUUUGAAAAAAAGUUUGAUUUUUUUAAGUUUUUCUUAAAAAACUUGGAUUUAUUUUUAAACUUGUAAUUUAAAGCAAGUUGUAACAAAGUAACUUUUGAUGAAUCAGAAGUUGGAAUAAUUAUUAAUUACUUAUAGUU
Molecule: ribosomal RNA, 1558 nt
Filed under: Chrysochromulina sp. NIES-1333
Lineage: Eukaryota; Haptophyta; Prymnesiales; Chrysochromulinaceae
Description: small subunit ribosomal RNA
Rfam family: Bacterial small subunit ribosomal RNA
Source: RNAcentral